RNAcentral lists this ribosomal RNA (119 nucleotides) under Pteropus alecto (black flying fox). The record is from RNAcentral. Lineage: Eukaryota; Metazoa; Chordata; Mammalia; Chiroptera; Pteropodidae.
GUCUACAGCCAUGCCACCCUGAACAAGCCCAAUCUCGUCUGAUCUUGGAAGCAAAGAAGGGUCGGGCCUGGUUAGUACUUGGAUGAGAGACCACCUAGGAAGACCAGGUGCUGUAGCGU